GGGUUGUGAGGUUAAGCGACUAAGCGUACACGGUGGAUGCCCUGGCAGUCAGAGGCGAUGAAGGACGUGCUAAUCUGCGAUAAGCGUCGGUGAGGUGAUAUGAACCGUUAUAACCGGCGAUUUCCGAAUGGGGAAACCCAGUGUGUUUCGACACACUAUCAUUAACUGAAUCCAUAGGUUAAUGAGGCGAACCGGGGGAACUGAAACAUCUAAGUACCCCGAGGAAAAGAAAUCAACCGAGAUUCCCCCAGUAGCGGCGAGCGAACGGGGAGGAGCCCAGAGCCUGAAUCAGUGUGUGUGUUAGUGGAAGCGUCUGGAAAGGCGCGCGAUACAGGGUGACAGCCCCGUACACAAAAAUGCACAUAUUGUGAGCUCGAUGAGUAGGGCGGGACACGUGGUAUCCUGUCUGAAUAUGGGGGGACCAUCCUCCAAGGCUAAAUACUCCUGACUGACCGAUAGUGAACCAGUACCGUGAGGGAAAGGCGAAAAGAACCCCGGCGAGGGGAGUGAAAAAGAACCUGAAACCGUGUACGUACAAGCAGUGGGAGCCUCUUAAUGGGGUGACUGCGUACCUUUUGUAUAAUGGGUCAGCGACUUAUAUUCUGUAGCAAGGUUAACCGAAUAGGGGAGCCGAAGGGAAACCGAGUCUUAACUGGGCGUUAAGUUGCAGGGUAUAGACCCGAAACCCGGUGAUCUAGCCAUGGGCAGGUUGAAGGUUGGGUAACACUAACUGGAGGACCGAACCGACUAAUGUUGAAAAAUUAGCGGAUGACUUGUGGCUGGGGGUGAAAGGCCAAUCAAACCGGGAGAUAGCUGGUUCUCCCCGAAAGCUAUUUAGGUAGCGCCUCGUGAAUUCAUCUCCGGGGGUAGAGCACUGUUUCGGCAAGGGGGUCAUCCCGACUUACCAACCCGAUGCAAACUGCGAAUACCGGAGAAUGUUAUCACGGGAGACACACGGCGGGUGCUAACGUCCGUCGUGAAGAGGGAAACAACCCAGACCGCCAGCUAAGGUCCCAAAGUCAUGGUUAAGUGGGAAACGAUGUGGGAAGGCCCAGACAGCCAGGAUGUUGGCUUAGAAGCAGCCAUCAUUUAAAGAAAGCGUAAUAGCUCACUGGUCGAGUCGGCCUGCGCGGAAGAUGUAA
Molecule: ribosomal RNA, 1142 nt
Filed under: Escherichia coli
Lineage: Bacteria; Pseudomonadati; Pseudomonadota; Gammaproteobacteria; Enterobacterales; Enterobacteriaceae
Description: partial 23S ribosomal RNA
Rfam family: Bacterial large subunit ribosomal RNA
Source: RNAcentral